This 490-nucleotide ribosomal RNA is filed under the name uncultured bacterium. Its description in RNAcentral is "partial 16S ribosomal RNA". It matches the Rfam family "Bacterial small subunit ribosomal RNA", at positions 28 to 507 of the family's 1533-position model. The record is from RNAcentral.
GAUGAACGCUAGCGAUAGGCUUAACACAUGCAAGUCGAGGGGCAGCGUGGUCUUAGCUUGCUAAGACUGAUGGCGACCGGCGCACGGGUGCGUAACGCGUAUGCAACUUGCCUCACAGAGGGGGAUAACCCGUCGAAAGACGGACUAAUACCGCGUACACUCCAUCUUGGGCAUCCAAGGUAGAGGAAAUGAAAUUCGCUGUGAGAUAGGCAUGCGUCCCAUUAGCUAGUUGGUGAGGUAACGGCUCACCAAGGCGACGAUGGGUAGGGGAACUGAGAGGUUGAACCCCCACACUGGUACUGAGACACGGACCAGACUCCUACGGGAGGCAGCAGUGAGGAAUAUUGGUCAAUGGGCGAGAGCCUGAACCAGCCAAGUCGCGUGAAGGAUGACUGUCUUAUGGAUUGUAAACUUCUUUUAUACGGGAAUAACAAGAGUCACGUGUGACUCCCUGCAUGUACCGUAUGAAUAAGCAUCGGCUAACUCCGUG